CAGCCGAGCGGUAUUGUUUCUUCGGAAAUGAGAGAGCGGCGUACGGGUGCGGAACACGUGUGCAACCUGCCUUUAUCUGGGGGAUAGCCUUUCGAAAGGAAGAUUAAUACUCCAUAAUAUAUUGAACGGCAUCGUUUAAUAUUGAAAGCUCCGGCGGAUAGAGAUGGGCACGCGCAAGAUUAGCUAGUUGGUGAGGUAACGGCUCACCAAGGCAAUGAUCUUUAGGGGGCCUGAGAGGGUGAUCCCCCACACUGGUACUGAGACACGGACCAGACUCCUACGGGAGGCAGCAGUGAGGAAUAUUGGUCAAUGGGUGCAAGCCUGAACCAGCCAUCCCGCGUGAAGGACGACUGCCCUAUGGGUUGUAAACUUCUUUUGUAUAGGGAUAAACCUUUCCACGUGUGGAAAGCUGAAGGUACUAUACGAAUAAG
This 431-nucleotide ribosomal RNA is filed under the name Flavobacteriia bacterium. Its description in RNAcentral is "bacterial SSU rRNA". It matches the Rfam family "Bacterial small subunit ribosomal RNA", at positions 59 to 490 of the family's 1533-position model. Lineage: Bacteria; Pseudomonadati; Bacteroidota; Flavobacteriia. The record is from RNAcentral.